UCGGCGUAACAUGAUGUGUGCGCUGCAUUUGCGAAGUCGGACACACGUGUUAUGCCGCAA
RNAcentral lists this microRNA precursor (60 nucleotides) under Acyrthosiphon pisum (pea aphid). RNAcentral's name for it is "microRNA api-mir-3026 precursor". Lineage: Eukaryota; Metazoa; Arthropoda; Insecta; Hemiptera; Aphididae. The record is from miRBase by way of RNAcentral.